This 302-nucleotide ribosomal RNA is filed under the name uncultured bacterium. Its description in RNAcentral is "partial 16S ribosomal RNA". It matches the Rfam family "Bacterial small subunit ribosomal RNA", at positions 508 to 807 of the family's 1533-position model. The record is from RNAcentral.
GCAGUAGCCACGGGAAUACAGAGGGUGCGAGCGUUAAUCGGAUUUACUGGGCGUAAAGCGUGCGUAGGCGGCUUUUUAAGUCGGAUGUGAAAUCCCUGAGCUUAACUUAGGAAUUGCAUUUGAUACUGGGAAGCUAGAGUAUGGGAGAGGAUGGUAGAAUUCCAGGUGUAGCGGUGAAAUGCGUAGAGAUCUGGAGGAAUACCGAUGGCGAAGGCAGCCAUCUGGCCUAAUACUGACGCUGAGGUACGAAAGCAUGGGGAGCAAACAGGAUUAGAUACCCCUGUAGUCCCUGUCUCUUAUAC